Long non-coding RNA from Saccostrea cuccullata (small rock oyster), 320 nucleotides. RefSeq lists it as uncharacterized. The record is from RefSeq and is a predicted model, not a curated record. The transcript has 3 exons. Lineage: Eukaryota; Metazoa; Mollusca; Bivalvia; Ostreida; Ostreidae.
GGGGGUGUUUUUUUUAGUGUAUUACAUAAUGGAGACUUGGGUUACCAAAAACAGAAAAUAUUGACCAUGUUGAGGCAGUGAGCUGUCUUGGUCAGCACCCAGGUGUAUUCAUCAACACGGGCACCUUAUAUCAAAAUGCAGAUAUGCAUUCCAGGAUGGUGACUGAAGCUCAUCUUUGUAAACACCUAAAAAUGCCUAGAAUGGACUUCAAAACAGAUUCUGAAAGUUUAACCAGUAUAAUCCUUAAUAUGGACAAAAAGUAAACACUUGGAACACACACAAAAACAGAUGGGUCCAUGCCAAGCUAAAGAUUAAUGCAG